RNAcentral lists this ribosomal RNA (1045 nucleotides) under uncultured bacterium. RNAcentral describes it as "bacterial SSU rRNA". It matches the Rfam family "Bacterial small subunit ribosomal RNA", at positions 8 to 1068 of the family's 1533-position model. The record is from RNAcentral.
AGAGUUUGAUCCUGGCUCAGGAUGAACGCUAGCGGUAGGCCUAACACAUGCAAGCCGAGGGGUAACAGUUACGAUUUAUCGUAAGCUGACGACCGGCGCACGGGUGCGUAACGCGUAUGCAACCUACCCUUAACAAGAGGAUAGCUCGAGGAAACUUGAAUUAAUACUCUAUAAACUUUACUAUUUGCAUAAAUAAAAAAGGAAAGCUUCGGCGGUUAAGGAUGGGCAUGCGUAGCAUUAGCUAGUUGGUGAGGUAACGGCUCACCAAGGCAACGAUGCUUAGGGGUUCUAAAAGGAAGAUCCCCCACACUGGUACUGAGACACGGACCAGACUCCUACGGGAGGCAGCAGUGAGGAAUAUUGGGCAAUGGAUGGAAGUCUGACCCAGCCAAUCCGCGUGCAGGAAGACGGCCGUUAAGGUUGUAAACUGCUUUUAUACGAGAAGAAACGCUGUUACGUGUAACAGUUUGUCGGUAUCGUACGAAUAAGCAUCGGCUAACUCCGUGCCAGCAGCCGCGGUAAUACGGAGGAUGCAGGCGUUAUCCGGAAUUAUUAGGUUUAAAGGGUGCGUAGGCUGUCAGAUAAGUCAGUGGUGAAAUACUUGGGCUCAACCGAAGAACUGCCAUUGAAACUAUCUGACUAGAAUACGGUUGAGGUAGGCGGAAUGUGUAAUGUAGCGGUGAAAUGCAUAGAUAUUACACAGAACACCAAUUGCGAAGGCAGCUUACUAAACCGUUAUUGACGCUGAUGCACGAAAGCGUGGGGAUCAAACAGGAUUAGAUACCCUGGUAGUCCACGCCGUAAACGAUGAUCACUAGUUGUGUGCGAUAUAUAGUACGUGACUGCGCGAAAGCAUUAAGUGAUCCACCUGGGGAGUACGUUCGCAAGAAUGAAACUCAAAAGGAAUUGACGGGGGCCCGCCACAAGCGGAGGACAUGUGGAUUAAUUCGAUGAUACGCGAGGACUACCGGCUAAUGGCUAAUGACCGAUAAGAGAAUAACUCCCUCCCGGACAAUAUAUUGGAAGGGUGUCUGCGCCACGGCGU